This 645-nucleotide ribosomal RNA is filed under the name Maladera sp. DA0712. RNAcentral describes it as "eukaryotic LSU rRNA". It matches the Rfam family "Eukaryotic large subunit ribosomal RNA", at positions 663 to 1265 of the family's 3401-position model. Lineage: Eukaryota; Metazoa; Arthropoda; Insecta; Coleoptera; Scarabaeidae. The record is from RNAcentral.
GGACCAAGGAGUCUAGCAUGUGCGCGAGUCAUUGGGAUUUUUACUAAACCUAAAGGCGCAAUGAAAGUGAAGGUCCGCCUUGCGCGGACCGAGGGAGGAUGGACCGYACCGAGGUACGGUCUCGCACUCCCGGGGCGUCUCGUUCUCAUCGCGAGAAGAGGCGCACCCAGAGCGUACACGCUGGGACCCGAAAGAUGGUGAACUAUGCCUGGUCAGGACGAAGUCAGGGGAAACCCUGAUGGAGGUCCGUAGCGAUUCUGACGUGCAAAUCGAUCGUCGGAACUGGGUAUAGGGGCGAAAGACUAAUCGAACCAUCUAGUAGCUGGUUCCCUCCGAAGUUUCCCUCAGGAUAGCUGGCGCUCGCUUCUCGCGAGUCUCAUUCGGUAAAGCGAAUGAUUAGAGGCAUUGGGGUCGAAACGGCCUCAACCUAUUCUCAAACUUUAAAUGGGUGAGAUCUCCGGCUUGCUUGAACUGUGAAGCCGCGAGAUAUCGGAUCAGAGUGCCAAGUGGGCCACUUUUGGUAAGCAGAACUGGCGCUGUGGGAUGAACCAAACGCAGAGUUAAAGCGCCUAAAUCGACGCUUAUGGGAUACCAUGAAAGGCGUUGGUAACUUAAGACAGCAGGACGGUGGCCAUGGAAGUCGGA